RNAcentral lists this ribosomal RNA (204 nucleotides) under Staphylococcus epidermidis. RNAcentral's name for it is "partial 16S ribosomal RNA". It matches the Rfam family "Bacterial small subunit ribosomal RNA", at positions 525 to 728 of the family's 1533-position model. Lineage: Bacteria; Bacillati; Bacillota; Bacilli; Caryophanales; Staphylococcaceae. The record is from RNAcentral.
ACGUAGGUGGCAAGCGUUAUCCGGAAUUAUUGGGCGUAAAGCGCGCGUAGGCGGUUUUUUAAGUCUGAUGUGAAAGUCCACGGCUCAACCGUGGAGGGUCAUUGGAAACUGGAAAACUUGAGUGCAGAAGAGGAAAGUGGAAUUCCAUGUGUAGCGGUGAAAUGCGCAGAGAUAUGGAGGAACACCAGUGGCGAAGGCGACUUU